CCGUAUUCAUAUUCGUUCCCCAAUAAUAAUUAUUGUGUCGUCGUCAUCAGGCUCGCUCGAAGACUGCUGGCCAGUUCCCUCGCCGAGUUCGUUUGCUCUGGCAUCAUCUCGUCCUUUCAUUCUUUCCAUCGCCGAGCUCGAAGAUCGUCGAAGCCUGUUUGGUUUCCAAGUAAAAAAUGGACGGUACGUUUGACAAUGAAGCUGAGCCGGUCGUUACAAUCCGCGAGUAUCUGGAGGAAGUGGAGGAGCGGGAAGUGUCAAUGUUGGCACAGGGGGUCUGGAGUCAAUGGUGCUAUAAAUAUUAAAAAGAUACAUAUGUGGAAACUGCUAGUGGUCCUAUUGGUAUUGCCCGCAUCUCAACGAUGUUAUCCAUAUCUCUUUUACAAAGCUACUACUUCAUAGCAUUUUUGUCAGGCUUGGCACUACACAUAGUGUUAUGUAUUGCUUCAAUUCUGAAGAAUAUUUUGUCUGUUUGAAAUUUACACAGUCGUGAACCAUAUAUUAUAAAAGUUGUCCCGCGCAUUCUUCUUGUUCUUAGUGAGUACAUCUGAACGAAACCUCCCGCGCGCUAGCUUCUCGUGAGUGAGUUCCUAAGUGAGUUUCGCAGCACCUUGACUCCUUCACACCAAACCUUCCCGCGCUACGUUGCUCGUGAGUGAGUUUUUCAGCUUUUGAGAACCCAAAGGUCAUUGCGGUGACAUUGUUCAUGGAGGAACUUCUAUCUCCAGAAACUUCCUCCCUCUGUGGUUCAUAGGCUGGGUUGGGACCCCUAGCUAGUUGUAUUUUGCUACAAGAAGAUUUAUCGCUUUCCAGGAUAAUCUUGUACCUAUGUAUGUGGGGAGCAGAUGAUUUUUAGGCUGGAUCUUCCGCUUAGAGGAGUGAUAGAUGGAGCAAACACAGGACUAUAACUUGUAUUAGUCCCUUCAUUUUCCUUGAUUUAGUUUUGUAUGGGAAUGACCUAUUUAUAUUUCUCUUAUGUAUAACUUCCAGGAGUUUUAUGUAAUUAAAAGUAUGUCUCCUUUUUACAGUUGAAGUGUUAUGAGUCACUAGUGUUGAUUGGGUUAUAUUUAGUA
Glycine soja is the source of this 1073-nucleotide long non-coding RNA. RefSeq lists it as uncharacterized. Lineage: Eukaryota; Viridiplantae; Streptophyta; Magnoliopsida; Fabales; Fabaceae. The record is from RefSeq and is a predicted model, not a curated record. The transcript has 6 exons.